CUCUUCUCUUUUGAUUUUUCUUUGUUUUUCAAUCUUUUUCUCACUUACUCCUCUUCUGUUUUUUUUUUUUGCCUUUUGUUUUUUGCUUUUUAGUUUCCUUUUUUCUCAUCCGUCUUUUCUUUUGUGUUGCCUUCUCUGAUCUUUUUUCUUCUGUGUAUGCUUGUGAGGUAUUAUAUAUUGUGUGAUUGUGUGCAUGUGUGGGAAGUUGAGGAUG
RNAcentral lists this long non-coding RNA (214 nucleotides) under Capsicum annuum. Its description in RNAcentral is "long non-coding RNA (CANN_LNC000151)". The record is from RNAcentral. Lineage: Eukaryota; Viridiplantae; Streptophyta; Magnoliopsida; Solanales; Solanaceae.